RNAcentral lists this ribosomal RNA (301 nucleotides) under uncultured bacterium. Its description in RNAcentral is "partial 16S ribosomal RNA". It matches the Rfam family "Bacterial small subunit ribosomal RNA", at positions 509 to 807 of the family's 1533-position model. The record is from RNAcentral.
CAGUAGCCACGGGAAUACGAAGGGGGCUAGCGUUGCUCGGAAUUACUGGGCGUAAAGGGCGCGUAGGCGGACAGUUCAGUCGGGGGUGAAAGCCCGGGGCUCAACCUCGGAAUUGCCUUCGAUACUGGCUGUCUUGAGUAUGAGAGAGGUGUGUGGAACUCCGAGUGUAGAGGUGAAAUUCGUAGAUAUUCGGAAGAACACCAGUGGCGAAGGCGGCACACUGGCUCAUUACUGACGCUGAGGCGCGAAAGCGUGGGGAGCAAACAGGAUUAGAUACCCCUGUAGUCCCUGUCUCUUAUAC